Molecule: ribosomal RNA, 275 nt
Filed under: uncultured prokaryote
Description: partial 16S ribosomal RNA
Rfam family: Bacterial small subunit ribosomal RNA
Source: RNAcentral
UACGGAGGAUCCGAGCGUUAUCCGGAUUUAUUGGGUUUAAAGGGUGCGCAGGCGGGGGAUUAAGUCGGCGGUGAAAUUUUGCAGCUCAACUGUAAAAGUGCCUUCGAAACUGGUUUCCUUGAGUGUGGAUGAGGUAGGCGGAAUUUGUGGUGUAGCGGUGAAAUGCAUAGAUAUCACGAGGAACUCCGAUUGCGUAGGCAGCUUACUAAACCAUAACUGACGCUCAAGCACGAAGGCGUGGGGAUCAAACAGGAUUAGAUACCCUGGUAGUCCCU